AUUGAACGCUGGCGGCAUGCUUUACACAUGCAAGUCGAACGGUAACAGCACUUCGGUGGCUGACGAGUGGCGAACGGGUGAGUAAUACAUCGGAACGUGCCUAGUAGUGGGGGAUAACUACUCGAAAGAGUAGCUAAUACCGCAUGAGAUCUAAGGAUGAAAGCAGGGGACCUUCGGGCCUUGCGCUACUAGAGCGGCUGAUGGCAGAUUAGGUAGUUGGUGGGAUAAAAGCUUACCAAGCCGACGAUCUGUAGCUGGUCUGAGAGGACGACCAGCCACACUGGGACUGAGACACGGCCCAGACUCCUACGGGAGGCAGCAGUGGGGAAUUUGGGACAAUGGGCGCAAGCCUGAUCCAGCAAUGCCGCGUGCAGGAUGAAGGCCUUCGGGUUGUAAACUGCUUUUGUACGGAACGAAAAGCCCUCUUCUAAUACAGGAGGGUCAUGACGGUACCGUAAGAAGAAGCACCGGCGAACUACGU
This 481-nucleotide ribosomal RNA is filed under the name uncultured bacterium. Its description in RNAcentral is "partial 16S ribosomal RNA". It matches the Rfam family "Bacterial small subunit ribosomal RNA", at positions 30 to 506 of the family's 1533-position model. The record is from RNAcentral.